Molecule: non-coding RNA, 4260 nt
Organism: Meleagris gallopavo (turkey)
Lineage: Eukaryota; Metazoa; Chordata; Aves; Galliformes; Phasianidae
Source: RefSeq, a predicted model, not a curated record
AAAUAAUGCCUAAUGUAAAUAUUUUCAGGUCAAUCUUUUAAUACAUGCUUUCUGUUUGCCAUGUGAACCAUUUCAACGUAUUUCAUACAUAUUUUCCAUUACUUCAAGCUGUAUUUUCCGUGGAUUAGAAGCAGAAGAGAAAAACUAAUUAAGUGAGAUAUAAAAACUGAUGAAGCCAUUUAUAAGGGAGCUACAAGUGCAAGUCAAGUCAGAUUUUCAGGAGUGCUCAUAUGGCUUCAGGCUGAAAAUAUUCCCUGUUGUCUGUGUGUUUAUGCUGUAGUGAGCACAGUGAGGAAAUGAUUCCUGGAGAUGAGAUGGAAGAGAGAAAGCCAACUGUGGAUAAACAUAUGCUAUAAGUUUUUGGACUAAGCGUAGCAAUUUUUGGGUUAUAGAUUUGAAAGCAUUUUGGACCUGAAGCCUUUGGAUGCAGUUGGCUCUGGCAGCAGUGCACCGUCCCAUGCUAUCUUCCCACGGCAGGACACCCCAACACUGCAAGUUUCUGCAGCAAAGCAGCACUACCUGAGACAUUCUAGGUAUCUACCCGGAGUAAACACAAGAAAUAGCGUGGUCUCCACUUCAAACAAGGAGUCUGUUCCAUCUAAUCCCUGGCCUAGUUCUGGUUUGCCUGGAAAAGCUUCAGUUUUGGGAGGAAGUGUCAACAGGAUAAAUUCAGGUCCCAUGGGAUCAAGUGGUCUAACUGGUGGUUAUAUCCCUUCGUUUCUGAAGAAGGAAGUGGGCUCUGCUGGGCAGAGGGUUCAGUUAGCGCCAAUUGCAGAUCCAUCUUCAAAUUAUGCUGCUCUGAAGUCAGCAAGACCCCAUCUUGGACGGCCUCCAUUCAAUUCACCUUCCAAAAGCACCCCUGGGGUAAUGCCCCUCCCACCCCCAACUCAGCCAGUCCACGGCCGCGUUGACUGGUCUGCAAAGUACGGAGCUCACCGGUGACGUGUAGAAAUGCUCUCCCAGCAGCGCCGAUUUCCCACAUGGUGACUGGCAUGUGACAGUUUUCUAAUGUUUUAUAGACUUGUAAAUUUAAAAGAAACAAAUCUUCUACAGCUGAGACCUUUCUGAAGGUUACUUUGGUUUUGUUUUCUAACUUUUAUUUGUGUUAAUUUCAAUGCAAUCUUGUACUUUUUUUUUUGUAUGAAAUUUUGUUAUAUAAUUGGGUCCAAUUAUUUUCAUAAAUCUGAUACCUUUUGUAUAUAUGGCUUAGGGAUCUUGGCAUUUUUAUAUGAUAAAUUUUUAUAACAAACUUUUUUAAAUUGUAACUUUUCCUUUAUUGGAUUCAACAUUUUUAUAAAAAUGAGUUUAAAAAAAAAUAAAGCAAAGUGGUGCAAUAUUGUGUUGGAAGAGAAGAGCGAGGAAGGGGCAUUCAUUAGAUGUUUUCUAAAGCUUAUGUGCUAAGUGAGAUUGUUUAAUUUCAGUGAUGCCAUGUCUUGAUGCCACACUGCUGCUGCUGUGUACUCAUUUGCUUUGUACAUCAAAGGAAUGAGUGAGCAGCAGUCUAACCUCUCCUUUACAGCCACUGAGAGACUGCUGGAAGUCCCAAGUCAGUGGGAAACUUUUUUUUUUGUAUUUAUUAUUUUAAUUUUACAAGACUUUUGUUGGACCGCUGUCCAGCUUUCCACUCCCAUUCUUUUGCUUUUACCAAAUCUGGGUAAUCUUGUUUCGUAAAGGAUAAUCAGUAGAUUUGUUUUCAGACACUGCUUGUUUGUCAUGCUUCAAAAUUACCUCUUGGUGUUGUUCACUAUCAAAUAGAAUGUGGACCUACCUCUCUUAAAUUUGCUUAAAUGUUUCCUAAUGACUAAUGAGGAGAAAUACUGGGUUCUGUUUUUGCUGUUGUCGGGAAAAGAAGAUCCAAAUACAAAUUUAAGGCAGUAUUGAGAAUUACAAAGCUGGUUUCAUAGUGAAAAAGUAUUAGUGAGAUGCCAGCAGCAGACUUUAAGGAAACUUAAGGAAACAGUAUCUAUGCAUUCGACUUAAUUUUUGUGACUGUUUUAAAUGACUUUUGAGGGGGAAAAAAAAUGUAAAUUUGGAUGAAAUGAAUACGUUCAAGCUUCAGUUCUUCUUCAUUUCAACAUCUUCACUUGUGAUGUGAAGAGUAUGUCAGUUGCUGUAAAUUAGGCCCCAGACUCUACUGGGUAAAAAUGAGGCUUUAUGUCAGACUGCUAAAAACCAUUCAGUUUGAAGGAGAAAAGGAACGAGCGGGUUCUAGACAAAGGAAGGUUGUUUCUGUGCUGGAAAGGAGCACCGGCAUUCAGCUGUCAGCAAAUGGUUCAUUUUGAUCAUAGUAUUUGGCUGUUCCUUCACCUCCUUCCACAGAAGAUUAGUCCUGUAGAUGAGACAAUUACAGUGCUGAGGGAGGACAUCUUUUAUAGCUGCAUUUUGGACGAGCACCUUCAAAGCUGAAAUGUGCAUAUCUUCCCACAGAACUGUACAGAAAUGGUCAGCUUUUGGGAAACCUCAUCUGAACUCAUUUUAUCAAUGGAGUGGGCUGAAAUUUAUGAGAGCCAGUCUGAAGGGAUCAGGGCAGGUGUGGUUCUUGGCAUCUGGCUGCUUGGAAGGAGAAGUGUGCCGGUGGGCCUGCCCCAUGAGGGGCACCUGCAGCGGGCUGGAGGCCAGUAACACGCCCUGGCCUUCUCAGCACUUUCCAUGAGAGCACACAGGACUCAGGAAACUGCUCCCCAGAGUAAGCUGCUGGUUCAGUGCUGUGGGGAACCAGGUGGGACUCUGAUCGCUGUUGGCUUUUGCUGACUGAAUCCAUAGCAAGUCCACAAGGCUAAAAGGACCAGAAGUGUCUAUGCAUUAAAAAAGCACGUGCAUAACACUUGCACAUGCCACAGACAUGUCCAGCUAUACCAGGCACUUGUUCUUAGCAUGUGUUAACAGCAAACUGUACAUAACUGCUUCCGUAGCAGCAGUGUUAAUGCGUAGCAAUGACCAUUCCAAUUCUAUACCACAUGCUGAUGUUGUGUUUGGGUAAGUGGAGAGGGAAAUAUGUAUAUUUGUGUCAGAAACUGGAAAGAUAGUUGUUUCUUUUGGUGGAAAUAAAUGUCUGUAUUUAUGUCUAGAUAUCAUUUAAUUUAUUUUUUUCGCUGAAUAAUCAGUUUAAGGGGAAAUAGCCUGAACCUGUCCUAAGUAUCCCUAGACCUAUGUAGGCAGUCUAUGUAGUCUGUUCCAUACAUACAAUUCCUACAAAUGGAAGCAUGAGAUGAGUCAUGAGAGCACGCUGCUGAGGCUUGGGCUCAUCCUACCUACCCACACGUGCCUGAGCUUCUUCCAAAGCAGGGAGGAGUGAGAAAUCUCCUCUCAAGAAAUGCAGCUUACCUGAGGACUCCCUGGGAGAUGCCCAGGCCUCUCCGUAGUAAUGAUGCUCCAAGUGAUACAGGAUAAAUAUGGACUCAGCCUGUGUAUAUCUGAACCCCCAUCAGUCCAGCCCUGUUUUCUUGCAUAUGAUGUUCAGUCAUCAGCAAAAGUAUUAGAAAAUGUAGUACUUUUUUUUUUUUUUUUUGGCUACAACUCCUCCUUUCCUGAAUAAAAGCCUAUAUUUUGUGGGGAAAAAAAGCUAAUAAUCUUGACAUUCAGAAUGGCUUCUGCUACUUUCAACUUAGUGAAAUGGGAAAACUGCAAAAUGUUGGUAUAUUGACAGCACUCUUGUAGCCUUUACUCAAGCAAAGAAUGUUGGGGAUGUUCUUUUUCAGUAAGGAUUAACCUGACUGAGCAAUGUGCACUGCUGCCUGAGUGCAGUGCAGAGGGAAAAGCUGUCAGCCUGUUGGUUAUACUGAGAGCUGGACAAGCAGCAUAGCAGAGACUUUAUCAUAUGUAGCCUUCUACUUUGUGUUGUAACAUUUAGCAGCAUCGUUAUGUGAAACGUUGUUGGAAUUCUGCUGUUUGCUUGUUCUCAGCCUUAAGCGUAACAUGUAGAAAUGACUGCUGGGAAUAAAGGAGCGUGCCAACGGCCUCAUUCACCUCUGCCAUCCAGAUCUUCCUAAGUCUUGUGUCAGUGCCACAAUAUUAGCCACAAAGCCACAGUUCCUGUGGUGUUUCAGAAUCUGGUAAGGCUGUUGGUGCCAAUGGGAUAUUUCGUAAAGGAGAACGGUUUCGAACUUAGAUGAAGAGCAUGGACUUGUUAAGUAUGAUUAUAGAGAAAUAAUGGUUCUUGUUUAUUCAGUGUUUUUGUUCAAAAAGGUUAUAUAUGUUUGUUCCGUUCCUUCUCUGUCAAAUCUCCUGCCCAGAAUAAAGUUACUCUUGAAGAAAUACUGA